RNAcentral lists this ribosomal RNA (250 nucleotides) under uncultured bacterium. RNAcentral describes it as "partial 16S ribosomal RNA". It matches the Rfam family "Bacterial small subunit ribosomal RNA", at positions 525 to 775 of the family's 1533-position model. The record is from RNAcentral.
ACGGGGGAUGCGAGCGUUAUCCGGAUUUAUUGGGUUUAAAGGGCGCGUAGGCGGGACGUCAAGUCAGCGGUAAAAGACUGCAGCUAAACUGUAGCACGCCGUUGAAACUGGCGCCCUCGAGACGAGACGAGGGAGGCGGAACAAGUGAAGUAGCGGUGAAAUGCAUAGAUAUCACUUGGAACCCCGAUAGCGAAGGCAGCUUCCCAGGCUCGUUCUGACGCUGAUGCGCGAGAGCGUGGGUAGCGAACAG